GAUGAACGCUGGCGGCGUGCCUAAUACAUGCAAGUCGAGCGAACAGAUGAGGAGCUUGCUCCUCUGACGUUAGCGGCGGACGGGUGAGUAACACGUGGAUAACCUACCUAUAAGACUGGGAUAACUUCGGGAAACCGGAGCUAAUACCGGAUAAUAUAUUGAACCGCAUGGUUCAAUAGUGAAAGACGGUUCUGCUGUCGCUUAUAGAUGGAUCCGCGCCGCAUUAGCUAGUUGGUAAGGUAACGGCUUACCAAGGCAACGAUGCGUAGCCGACCUGAGAGGGUGAUCGGCCACACUGGAACUGAGACACGGUCCAGACUCCUACGGGAGGCAGCAGUAGGGAAUCUUCCGCAAUGGGCGAAAGCCUGACGGAGCAACGCCGCGUGAGUGAUGAAGGUCUUCGGAUCGUAAAACUCUGUUAUUAGGGAAGAACAAAUGUGUAAGUAACUAUGCACGUCUUGACGGUACCUAAUCAGAAAGCCACGGCUAACUACGUG
RNAcentral lists this ribosomal RNA (497 nucleotides) under uncultured bacterium. Its description in RNAcentral is "partial 16S ribosomal RNA". It matches the Rfam family "Bacterial small subunit ribosomal RNA", at positions 28 to 507 of the family's 1533-position model. The record is from RNAcentral.